Molecule: ribosomal RNA, 465 nt
Filed under: Vreelandella stevensii
Lineage: Bacteria; Pseudomonadati; Pseudomonadota; Gammaproteobacteria; Oceanospirillales; Halomonadaceae
Description: partial 16S ribosomal RNA
Rfam family: Bacterial small subunit ribosomal RNA
Source: RNAcentral
CCUACGGGCGGCUGCAGUGGGGAAUAUUGGACAAUGGGCGAAAGCCUGAUCCAGCCAUGCCGCGUGUGUGAAGAAGGCCUUCGGGUUGUAAAGCACUUUCAGUGGGGAAGAAAGCCUUGGGGCUAAUACCCUCGAGGAAGGACAUCACCCACAGAAGAAGCACCGGCUAACUCCGUGCCAGCAGCCGCGGUAAUACGGAGGGUGCGAGCGUUAAUCGGAAUUACUGGGCGUAAAGCGCGCGUAGGCGGUCUGAUAAGCCGGUUGUGAAAGCCCCGGGCUCAACCUGGGAACGGCAUCCGGAACUGUCAGGCUAGAGUGUAGGAGAGGAAGGUAGAAUUCCCGGUGUAGCGGUGAAAUGCGUAGAGAUCGGGAGGAAUACCAGUGGCGAAGGCGGCCUUCUGGACUGACACUGACGCUGAGGUGCGAAAGCGUGGGUAGCAAACAGGAUUAGAUACCCCGGUAGUC